This 461-nucleotide long non-coding RNA is filed under the name Brassica napus (rape). Its description in RNAcentral is "long non-coding RNA (BNAP_LNC020724)". The record is from RNAcentral. Lineage: Eukaryota; Viridiplantae; Streptophyta; Magnoliopsida; Brassicales; Brassicaceae.
UUUGAUUUGUGACAAAAAAAAAAUACAUUGUUUGAUUAAUCUCUUAAAACUACAAUUGAUAGGAAAAACUAUAAGAUUUAGAUAUAUAUAUUAAUCAAUUAAAUUAUAUUUAAUAAUUAUUUAAAUCGAUUGAAAAUGUAUCUUUAGAUUAGACACUUGAUAAUAUGUAUGUAUACUGAAUAUGCGAAGAUACACGUAGUUUUUAAGUUUAUAAGGGUUCACUAACUAAUGGAUUUCUAUUCGGUAGUGACUAGUAAGUAGAUUGUUGAUUCUAAUUCAAUGAUCAAUUCUCUUUAUAAACAACUUUUUCUUACUACUGUUUCCAUAUUAUGAUCAUAGUACGACUGAAGAACUGGUAACGGUGAAGUUGUUUUGGGAGGGCGUUGUGGAUCUCUAAAGUAGUUUCAAGAAUUGGUUUUUGCUUCUUCCACAAAUAUCCGAACUAAGAUGGAAUUGGUUUU